GCUUCCUUAGCUCAGCUGGCCAGAGCGUUCGCCUUGUAAGCGAAGGGUCGUUGGUUCGAAUCCGACAGGAAGCU
Molecule: transfer RNA, 74 nt
Filed under: Spirosoma aureum
Lineage: Bacteria; Pseudomonadati; Bacteroidota; Cytophagia; Cytophagales; Cytophagaceae
Description: Spirosoma sp. BT328 tRNA-Thr
Rfam family: tRNA
About the family: Transfer RNA (tRNA) molecules are approximately 80 nucleotides in length. Their secondary structure includes four short double-helical elements and three loops (D, anti-codon, and T loops).
Source: RNAcentral